This 875-nucleotide ribosomal RNA is filed under the name uncultured archaeon. RNAcentral describes it as "bacterial SSU rRNA". It matches the Rfam family "Archaeal small subunit ribosomal RNA", at positions 21 to 903 of the family's 1478-position model. The record is from RNAcentral.
CCUGACUGCUAUCGGAUUGAUACUAAGCCAUGCGAGUCUUUGUAGUAAUACAAGGCAUACGGCUCAGUAACGCGUAGUCAACCUACCCUAUGGACAAGAAUAAUCCCGGGAAACUGAGCAUAAUUCUUGAUAGAUCAUAAUGCCUGGAAUGGUUUAUGGUUAAAAUGAUUCGUCGCCAUAGGAUGGGACUGCGGCCUAUCAGCUUGUUGGUGAGGUAAUGGCCCACCAAGGCGAUUACAGGUACGGGCUCUGAGAGGAGAAGCCCGGAGAUGGGUACUGAGACAAGGACCCAGGCCCUAUGGGGCGCAGCAGGCGAGAAAACUUUGCAAUGUGCGAAAGCACGACAAGGUUAGUCCGAGUGAUUUCUGCUAAAGAGAUCUUUUGCUAGUUAUAAAACCACUAGUGAAUAAGGGGUGGGCAAGUUCUGGUGUCAGCCGCCGCGGUAAAACCAGCACCUCAAGUGGUCAGGAUGAUUAUUGGGCCUAAAGCAUCCGUAGCCGGCUCUGUAAGUUUUCGGUUAAAUCUAUGCGCUCAACGUAUGGGCUGCCGAAAAUACUGUAGAGAUAGGGAGUGGGAGAGGUAGACGGUACUCGGUAGGAAGGGGUAAAAUCCUUUGAUCUAUCGAUGACCACCUGUGGCGAAGGCGGUCUACCAGAACACGUUCGACGGUGAGGGAUGAAAGCUGGGGGAGCAAACCGGAUUAGAUACCCGGGUAGUCCCAGCUGUAAACGAUGCAGACUCGAUGAUGCAUUGGCAUAUAGCCAGUGCAGUGUCGCAGGGAAGCCGUUAAGUCUGCCGCCUGGGAAGUACGUACGCAAGUAUGAAACUUAAAGGAAUUGGCGGGGGAGCACCACAAGGGGUGAAGCCUGCGGUUC